GUUGGGUAUGGUGGUGCAUGCCUGUAAUCCCAGUGGCUUGGGAGGCUGAGGCAAGAGGAUCCUGAGGUCAAAGCCAGCCUCAGCAACUUAGAGAGGUUCUAAGCAACUCAGUGAGACUCUGUCUCUA
This 127-nucleotide small RNA is filed under the name Marmota monax (woodchuck). Lineage: Eukaryota; Metazoa; Chordata; Mammalia; Rodentia; Sciuridae. The record is from RNAcentral.